This 254-nucleotide ribosomal RNA is filed under the name uncultured bacterium. RNAcentral's name for it is "partial 16S ribosomal RNA". It matches the Rfam family "Bacterial small subunit ribosomal RNA", at positions 524 to 776 of the family's 1533-position model. The record is from RNAcentral.
UACGGAGGGUGCAAGCGUUGUCCGGAUUCACUGGGUUUAAAGGGUGCGUAGGCGGGCAGGUAAGUCAGUGGUGAAAUCUCAGAGCUUAACUCUGAAACUGCCAUUGAUACUAUCUGUCUUGAAUGUUCUGGAGGUGAGCGGAAUAUGUCAUGUAGCGGUGAAAUGCUUAGAUAUGACAUAGAACACCAAUUGCGUAGGCAGCUCACUACGGAAAUAUUGACGCUGAGGCACGAAAGCGUGAGGAUCAAAACAGG